This 251-nucleotide ribosomal RNA is filed under the name uncultured bacterium. RNAcentral's name for it is "partial small subunit ribosomal RNA". It matches the Rfam family "Bacterial small subunit ribosomal RNA", at positions 26 to 285 of the family's 1533-position model. The record is from RNAcentral.
AGGACGAACGCUGGCGGCGUGCUUAACACAUGCAAGUGGAGCGACGAACCAGGGCUUGCCCUGGGGCAGAGCCGCGAACGGGUGAGUAACACGUGGGUUACCUGCCUUGAUGACCGGGACAACCCGAGGAAACUCGGGCUAAUACCGGAUGUGCCCGCAAGGGGAAGGAAGCUUCGGCCUCCGCAUCAAGAUGGGCCCGCGGCCCAUUAGCUUGUUGGUGAGGUAACGGCUCACCAAGGCGACGACGGGUA